RNAcentral lists this ribosomal RNA (301 nucleotides) under uncultured bacterium. RNAcentral's name for it is "partial 16S ribosomal RNA". It matches the Rfam family "Bacterial small subunit ribosomal RNA", at positions 509 to 809 of the family's 1533-position model. The record is from RNAcentral.
CAGUAGCCGCGGUAAUACGAAGGGGGCUAGCGUUGUUCGGAUUUACUGGGCGUAAAGGGCGCGUAGGCGGGCGAAUCAGUCAGGGGUGAAAUCCCAAGGCUCAACCUUGGAACUGCCUUUGAUACUGUUUGUCUUGAGUUCGAGAGAGGUAAGUGGAACUGCGAGUGUAGAGGUGAAAUUCGUAGAUAUUCGCAAGAACACCAGUGGCGAAGGCGGCUUACUGGCUCGAAACUGACGCUGAGGCGCGAACGCGUGGGGAGCAAACAGGAUUAGAUACCCCCGUAGUCCCUGUCUCUUAUAA